AAUAAGCUUUUGUUUAGCUUAAAAAAUUAUUAGUUAAUUUUUUUACAUGUAAAUUUUUUAUUAUUAUAUAUUAAAAAUGUUUAAUUUUUUUUUCAGUAAUUUAUUUUAAAUAUAAAAGUAAUUUUGAUUUAGAAAUUUAAUUUAUUAUUAACAAAAUUUGUGCCAGCAGUUUCGGUUAUACAUAUAAUAAUAAUAAUUUAAUAUCUAAAGUAAUUAUUUGUUUAAUAAUAAUUGAAAUAAAAAUUUAUUAGGUGAAAUUUUAAAUUUUUAUUAAUUUUAUUUUAAAUAUAGGAUUUAUUAAAUUUUAUAAAAAACUAGGAUUAGAUACCCUAUUAUAUAAAUGUAAAUUAGGUUUAGGAUUAGUAUUAGUUAUUUCUUGAAAAUUAAAAAUUUUGGCGGUAUUUUAGUCUAUUUAGAGGAACCUGUUCUGUAAUUGAUAUUCCACGAUUAAAAUUACUUAUUUUUUAAGUUUGUAUAUCAUCGUAGUUUGAUUAUUCUAUUAGGACAAUAAUAUUCAAAAUUUAGUAGUUUAAAUUAUAUCAGAUCAAGGUGCAGUUUAUAAAUAAGUAGAAAUGGGUUACAUUAAAUUAAUUUAGGGAUUAAAUUUUUAAAUAUUUAUAAAUUUGGAUUUAAUAGUAAUAAAAUUGAUUUAAAUUUUAUGAUUUUAGCUCUAAAAUAUGCACAUAUUGCCCGUCGCUCUCAUUUAAAUUGAGAUAAGUCGUAACAAAGUAGAUGUACUGGAAAGUGUCUCUAGAAUGUA
Molecule: non-coding RNA, 760 nt
Filed under: Sepedophilus bipunctatus
Lineage: Eukaryota; Metazoa; Arthropoda; Insecta; Coleoptera; Staphylinidae
Source: RNAcentral